This 253-nucleotide ribosomal RNA is filed under the name uncultured bacterium. RNAcentral describes it as "partial 16S ribosomal RNA". It matches the Rfam family "Bacterial small subunit ribosomal RNA", at positions 524 to 776 of the family's 1533-position model. The record is from RNAcentral.
UACGUAGGUGGCAAGCGUUGUCCGGAAUUAUUGGGCGUAAAGCGCGCGCAGGCGGUCCUUUAAGUCUGAUGUGAAAGCCCACGGCUCAACCGUGGAGGGUCAUUGGAAACUGGGGGACUUGAGUGCAGAAGAGGAAAGCGGAAUUCCACGUGUAGCGGUGAAAUGCGCAGAUAUUAGGAGGAACACCGGUGGCGAAGGCGCCACUCUGGGCCGAAACUGACGCUGAGGAGCGAAAGCAUGGGUAGCAAACAGG